Arabis alpina (gray rockcress) is the source of this 107-nucleotide non-coding RNA. NCBI's taxonomy places the organism in Eukaryota, Viridiplantae, Streptophyta, Magnoliopsida, Brassicales, Brassicaceae. The record is from Rfam.
AAUAGAUGGUAAGGGCAAGCUCUAGUGUACCAUUUCAUACGCUCCCAUUCUUCAUACAAAGGCUCUUCUUCGCGUUGUUCAAAUCUAGCUAUAUCAUUCCUUAUCUU